GCUUGCUCAGUGUUGGAGUGUAAUCAGAGAGGAUCAUGGAGUGUGAAAGUGUAUCCACAUCCAUCCGCCAGUAUGGAGCGCGCUGGAGGCUCUCAGUCUGUGCGAGGAGGCAGCCAGCAUGGCGGGUGAGGAUCUGAGUGUGAUAUUAAUCAUGUUUUAUAUUCCAGGAAUGCCCUGCCUGGUGCAGUUAGUAUGCCAUGUGCAGACAGCAAAAUAUGGAGAAUACUACAGCAGGACAAUGUGAUCUCAUCUGCCCUGUGCUGGCUGUGUGUGAGUACACUAUCAUUUAAUAAUGAAUGGCCAUCCUUCUAUUAUCUGCUGUGUGUGUGAGCACACUAUCAUUUAAUAAUGAAUGGCCAUCCUUCUAUUAUCUGCUGUGUGUGAGCACACUAUCAUUUAAUAAUGAAUGGCCAUCCUUCUAUUAUCUGCUGUGUGUGUGAGUACACUAUCAUUUAAUAAUGAAUGGCCAUCCUUCUAUUAUCUGCUGUGUGUGAGCACACUAUCAUUUAAUAAUGAAUGGCCAUCCUUCUAUUAUCUGCUGUGUGUGUGAGCACACUAUCAUUUAAUAAUGAAUGGCCAUCCUUCUAUUAUCUGCUGUGUGUGAGCACACUAUCAUUUAAUAAUGAAUGGCCAUCCUUCUAUUAUCUGCUGUGUGUGUGAGCACACUAUCAUUUAAUAAUGAAUGGCCAUCCUUCUAUUAUCUGCACACUAUCAUUUAAUAAUGAAUGGCCAUCCUUCUAUUAUCUGCUGUGUGUGAGCACACUAUCAUUUAAUAAUGAAUGGCCAUCCUUCUAUUAUCUGCUGUGUGUGUGAGCACACUAUCAUUUAAUAAUGAAUGGCCUCCUUCUAUUAUCUGCUGUGUGUGUGAGUACACUAUCAUUUAAUAAUGAAUGGACAUCCUUCUAUUAUCUGCUGUGUGUGUGUGUGAGUACACUAUCAUUUAAUAACGAAUGGCCAUCCUUUUAUUAUUGGCUGUGUGUGAGAAUACAACCAUAUAAUAAUGAAUGUUGUGUAAAGACUCCAUCACAAUUUCUUUCAGAUACUGACACAUCCACAAUGUGUUUCCGGACACUGGAUAUAACCGAAAGCUCUGCCUUGUAGUACUGACAGUCAGAAUUCAAGAUUGAUUAGUCCUGCAGCAUAUCAUUUCUACGUGCUGCCUAUCAAUAUGAAAUAAGGGGUGGGCAGUUGUCCUGGUAGACAUGGUGAGUUUGCCAGCCUUAGUUUUUCUUUAUAAAUGUAUUUUUGGCCAAACUUCUUCCAUGAUAAAAAUGAACACUCCAGGCACCAGAAGAACUUGAUCUAGAUUAAGUUGUUAUGGUGCUGCCCCCAGACGCACUCUUACCUUCAUGGGUUAAACCGUUCUCGAAUGGUUAAACACCAAAUUUUCCAUCGUCGGUCUCUGCUUCUCCGGGCAGCACCCGGCUUCUGAGAUUUCACUUACAGGAAUGGCGGAGUGCCGUUGGGCAUGGGCGCUGCUAAUUGCCUGGAAGCAGUCAGCUUCUGCUCUCAGCCAAUCCGUGACUCCCCAAUCUUCAGAAGUAAAUUUUAGAAGCCGUAUGCCACCGAAGGUGAGCUGAAACCGGUGCUGGCGGCAACUUGGGGUUAAACAGUUCAAAGGACACUAAAUGCAUUAAAACAAUUUUAACUCAAUGAAGCAGUUCUGGUAUAUAAAUCUGAAAUAUAUUGUACUCUAGUUAUUUUAAAAUCUUAAUUGUGAAUUAGACUUCUAAUGUGUUUAAGGGGUUAAAAUGAAAUGUAUGGUUGGUUAAAAAGUAAGCAUCCAGAGUAUAACAACUUAUUUUUAUUUCCCCCCUCCCAUCCUUCUACUUUUUCAUCUUCAGAAAGCAUGACCAAUGUCUGUGGAGAUAAUCAGUGAGAACUUACUGCAAUGAAGUUUGGAAAGAGUCAUUCAUUUUCUGCUUAAUGGAAAGGUAAACUUAUUUGCUUGGGUAAAUCACUGCUGUAUUUUAAUCCUUUUGAUGGCAAACAAGCAAUAGUGUAAAGGAAAAAAAAAAUCCAAAACCUAAGAGAGAAACAACUCUCCAAAUCUUGUAAACCGUUUUUACGCACCUUUUAUUCAUAUCCUUGUCUGAGAUCACCCUGAUGGACGAUCUUGGUCCAAUCCAAAGCUCCUCACAGUUGCUGUCAAUCUGAAAACCACUACAGAUGUGUUUGGGGUUUUUAAUUUAGACUGCCACUCAAAAGGGACCUGGUCUUGGCAACAAAACCAUUUCAUUAAGAGGAAGUGACUUGGUGCUCAGUGUCCAUGAAAUAAAGCAGAUUAAGAUGAUCUUCUAAAAUAAACACACUCUUUGUACUUUGUGAGCAUAAGGUUCCAAAUGAGCACAUUUUGAGACUGCAGGGGCAUAGUUUAUAUAUCAAAACUGCUUUAUAAAGAAGUGGAUUUAGCUCUUAAACUGACCCUGUAAUAAGCAAUUACUGAGUGGUGCCUCCUACAAAGGCGUGCUAGCGCUUUCUAUGUGCUUGCACGUAAGAACUGGAGGUAGAGGAAAAAAAGAAUGGCAUCCUCAAUUGUGCACAUUUUUUAUUUUAUGUGCCUGUGUCUGUGUUCUUACAGUUUUGCUAGGUUUUAACACUUAGAAGAGAACAACCUAUUUUAUGUUCUUCAGGACUCAGUAGUUAUUUUCUUUGGCAUCUACCUGUUUUACAGUUAUUGAACUGCAAGUGUGUGUUUAAGAAUGUGUCUGUAAUUAUGGUGGGUACUAGCAUUUAUUGGGCAAAGUAGCUCGGUGUGGAUGCACCAUGAAUUAAAGGACCACUAUAGGCACCCAGACCACUUCAGCUAAUUGAAGUGGUCUGGGUGCCAGGUCCAUCUAGGAUUAACACUUUCUGCUGUAAACAUAGCAGUUUCAGAGAAACUGCUAUGUUUACCUAUGGGUUAAUUCAGCCUCUAGUGGCUGUCUCAUUGACAGCCGUUAGAGGCGCUUCUCACUGUGAUUGACGCGCGCAUGUGCAUUCAGCCGAUGACUGCGAAAAGGAGGAGGAGAUGGAGCCCGGUGGGGGAAAACAGGUAAGAUUUAACCCCUUCCACCCCCUAUAGCCCGGAGAGGGAGGGGGGACCUAGAGACCCUAUAGUGCCAGGAAAACGAGUAUGGUUUUCCUGACACUAUAGUGGUCUUUAAAAAAAAAAAAAAAAAAAAUGUUUUUGUGGCAAGUAAUUUUUAGCCGUGGCUAGUACCUUUAGAAUUUGAAAUUGAUAGCCCUGAUGCACAGAGUAGGGAAAGCUCUCUCCUGUGUGAAGAGUGGAGUUGCGGACUACACUGCAAGGGUCCGUGACUCUGUCAGUUAUCGAAACACAAUCUGAUUCCGUAAACGGCAAACUGAUUGAAGCACAGUAGGGAGUCUCUUGUGAUCCCAUGUGAUUAUUGGAACUUAAAGUGUGCUUAUUCUUUAACCCUGUGAUGGGGGCACGUUUAUGGGAUAAGAUUCAUCCCUGCAGACCAGCUUGAGAUGCUCCUGAUUGCAACUGCAGGCACACCCACAAUGAGAAGGUUUUAUUUAUCUAUGUAAUACUUUAAAUACUGGGUCAGUUUUUAUACAGUCACUUUAAGUUCAUUCUCUUUAUUGCAACAAAUUAAUUUUGUACAUAUGUCUUCAUUAUAGGUCUGUUCGUGGCCUCAGUAUAUUGUCUGUGAAGAUAUGAAGAUCAUUUUACUUAGUAGGCUGGAGACAUCUGUACUACAGGUAAAGUUGUGUUGGUGUUGUAUUGUUUGUAGCAAGCUAGGGAUUAAAAAAUUAAUUUGUCAUAAACUACGGCUGGAACAAUGUCCAGGUUUGAUAAUGCAUUGCCUUAAUGGCAUAAAGUCCGAUAUAAUCUCCGCCAGAUUGCUUUCUGUGAAAAUGUUUGUAAAUAUUGAGUGUGUGUUCAUGCACACAUUACACUUUAUAGAGUGUAGAUUGUGUCUUCCACACUUUUAUAUCUUGCUUUGUACUUAUUGAAACUAUGCAAUAAAAAUUGAUACACUGGAAAAAAGAAAGGGAAUAUGUACAGUGUGCACACGCAUUGGUCUGUAAUAUUUUCUUCAAAUGAAGGCUUUUAUUCUUCUACUUACACUCGUGGGUUGUAAAUAGUGUAAUCUGCUCAAGAAGUGUGUGUAUAAUCUCCUCCCACAAAGGCGUGCCUGUACAGCUUUGUCUUCAGGUGCGUAAGAACUGGAGGUAAAGCAUUUAGACUGAUGGGUGUUAAUGCACUUGUUUCUUGUGAGACAGGAGCAGAUAUCAUCAUUCUUACAUGGUCGUACUUUGUGAAAUUAAAUAUGUACUAUGCAGAAUUAAAGACUAGAAUGAGAUUUUUUUAUUUAUUUUGUUUUUCAUUCCAUUUUUUUUUUUUACUUUCCAGCUUUUAAUGACUUCCAUAAGCGAUUGGCCACCAUGAUGUCACUGUAAGUUUGGGACAGUUUUAUUGUGUUAACAGAAAUACCAGUCGGUGGUGCCACAGGUUAUAAAUUCUGAGCAUGUUUUGUUUUAAGAAGCUAUAUAAUCUAAUCACAAAUAAAGCACUUAUUGAAAAGAA
Non-coding RNA from Pelobates cultripes (western spadefoot toad), 4537 nucleotides. NCBI's taxonomy places the organism in Eukaryota, Metazoa, Chordata, Amphibia, Anura, Pelobatidae. The record is from the annotation of a GenBank genome assembly.